RNAcentral lists this long non-coding RNA (246 nucleotides) under Elaeis guineensis (African oil palm). RNAcentral's name for it is "long non-coding RNA (EGUI_LNC072496)". The record is from RNAcentral. Lineage: Eukaryota; Viridiplantae; Streptophyta; Magnoliopsida; Arecales; Arecaceae.
CUAGCUUUUCUUCAAAGAUUAGGAAUCUAAUUUUUUAGUACUUCUCAAGUACUUAAGGAUAUUUUCACAGCAAUCUAGCACUCCCAGCUCGGAUUUGACUGAUAUCUGCUCGUGAUAUUCACAGUAAUGUCUAUAUCAGAUUAAGUACAUAGCAUGGCAUACUCUUAUGCCCAAGAGGUAGAAGUUUCCUUUCAAGAUUUUCUAUAUUGAACUUUUUUAGCACUUUCUCUAUGUACAGCUUUUGUG